Molecule: ribosomal RNA, 245 nt
Filed under: Amanita incarnatifolia
Lineage: Eukaryota; Fungi; Basidiomycota; Agaricomycetes; Agaricales; Amanitaceae
Description: partial 28S ribosomal RNA
Rfam family: Eukaryotic large subunit ribosomal RNA
Source: RNAcentral
AGGAGUCUAACAUAUCUGCGAGUGUUUGGGUGGAAAACCCGAGCGCACAAUGAAAGUGAAAGUUGAGAUCCCUGUCGUGGGGAGCAUCGACGCCCGGACCUGAGCUUUUAGCAAUGGAUCUGCGGUAGAGCAUGUAUGUUGGGACCCGAAAGAUGGUGAACUAUGCCUGAAUAGGGCGAAGCCAGAGGAAACUCUGGUGGAGGCUCGUAGCGAUUCUGACGUGCAAAUCGAUCGUCGAAUUUGGG